UCUCUCGCUCUCUCUCCCGCUCGCUCUCUCUCUCUCUCUCUUCCUCUCUCUCUCUCCCCCCUCCCUCUCUCUCUCUCUCUUUCUCUCUAUACCUCUCUCUCUCUUUCUCUCUCUCUCUCUCCCGCUCACUCUCUCUCUCUCUCUUCCUCUCCCUCUCUCCUCCUCUCUCUAUACCUCUCUCUCUCUUUCUCUCUAUACCUCUCUCUCUUUCUCUCUCUUUUCCCCUCUCUCUCUUUCUCUAUACCUCUCUCUCUCUCUUUCUCUCUCUACCUCUCUUUCUCUCUCUCUUCCUCUCUCUCUUUCUCUCUAUACCUCUCUCUAUCUCUCUUUCUCUCUCUCUCUCUCUUCCUCUCUCUCUUUCUCUCUAUACCUCUCUCUCUCUCUUUCGCUCUAUACCUCUCUCUCUCUCUUUCUGUCUCUCUCUCUCUUCCUCUCUCUCUCUUUCUCACACACACACACACAUUAAUAAGUACUGUUGAACAUCAUGAAAUAGUAUUUGAGUUUUAGUCCUGACACUUGUCUAAAUCCUGGACAUUUUUGUGAAGGAGAAAAAUAAGCUGAUGAAGUAUGUUUGAAUUAUUAUUAUUAUUAUUAUUAUUAUUAUUAUUAUUAUUAUUAUUAUUAUGAUGAUGAUGAUGAUAAUGAUGAUGAUCUAAGCUUAUUUCAGAACGCCCCCCACUCUCUCCUUCACAACCAUCUGAUUAUUUCAACUUUAAUUAAACAAAAUGUAUGCUUUGUGUCUCCCUUUCUGCUCUUUUCACUGCUUUCUUUGUGAGGUGUAAAUGUUUAGAGAUUUGCUUUGCCCUCCUCUACUCUUCUUCUUGCUAAGAAAUGCAAACAGGGAAAGAAGAAAGAAGUCUAACGUUGCUACUCAGCACUGUUUGGAUUGCAUUAUCAGAUUGAAUAUUAGGAAUAAGUCUACACUAAGUCAAUAAUAUGGUUUAAUAAGCAUCAUACAUUUAGCAUACUUUAAAGAAUUAGAAUAGCCGAACUGUAAAAUAAUUUCUACACAAUUGUCUUCUUACAGUUCAUCAAAAGUAUUGAAAAAUCUGAUCAACAAAGACAUGUUUUGUUUCUACUGGAACUACAAGAAAUAUGGGAGUUAAAUCAUCACACACUUGUCUCAAAAAUAAAUAAAUAAAAACACUUUCAUACAUUUACAGAAUAAGUCAUCAUGUAAAUUAUUUCGUAUAUACUGAUACUGAUAUUACACAUCACUGACUAAAUCAAUUCUAAUAAUUCUGCCUUUAAACUUUAAACUUGAACCUGAGUCUGAUGCAAAUUGAUGGUGGCUUGAUGCAAAACUGUAUGCUGAGGGGGCUAGCACGUUCACCUCAUACCUCCAGGGUCCGGGGUUCCAGUCCCGCCGGGGCCAUGUGUGUGUGCGGAGUUUGCAUUUUCUCCCUGUGCUGCAGGGAUUUCCUCCGGGUACUGCGGUUUCCUCCACCAGUCCAAAGACAUGCAUGAUAGGCUGACUGGCAUGUCUAAAGUGUCCGUAGUGUAUGAAUGAGUGUGUAUGUGAUUGUGCCCUGCAAUGGACUGGCACCCUGUCCAGGUUGUACCCCGCCUCAUGCCCGAUGCUACCUGGGAUUGGCUUCAGGUUCCCCCGUGACCCUGAAAAGGAGUAAGCGGUAGAAGAUGGAUGGAUGCUGAGGAAGAAAAUGAUUCUGGCUUCAACAACAGCAUGUGAAUCCACCUACGAGUAUGUUUUUGGGAGAUGGGGGAGGGGAAACCUGGAGGAUGCCAACACAGACAGCAAAGAGUUCUGGUGUUAGAUAAAUAGGAACCAGCAAGAGAAAGGCGUCUCUUGCAUCGGCCAUGCUGAGCCACACUUGAACACGUUUGUUUGUCGCCAGGGGAAAUGGAACGUGCGCAGAAUUGUAACGUCUCAUCUGCAGAACUGCAAAAAGUAGGGAGAUGAGGAGCAAGCAUGCCACAAAGAAGAACAUGCAGCCUUUGUGCAACUACAAAAGCGGUUUUGUAAGUUGAAGGGCUUGCUGGGGGAGGAAACGCAGCUGGCGGGGGUUGAGUCUUCGCCAGAAAGCCUCAAGAACUCAAAGCAAAGUGCAGAAAAGAUUGUGCUGUGUGCGGCCGACCUCAUGGGUCAUUUCUACCCACAGACAAGACUAGAUAUAUUUAAUCAAUCAUUAACACUGUCUUAAAACAAGAUUUAAUGAGCAUGUGUAAUUUGAGUGUAACAGCUGAUUAAACUCUAAUUAUACAUACAUUAAUUUGUUGAAUCUAAGUCAAGUCUGAUAAGGGAACUGUUCAGAUACAGUACAA
Long non-coding RNA from Ictalurus punctatus (channel catfish), 2283 nucleotides. RefSeq lists it as uncharacterized. The transcript has 3 exons. The record is from RefSeq and is a predicted model, not a curated record. NCBI's taxonomy places the organism in Eukaryota, Metazoa, Chordata, Actinopteri, Siluriformes, Ictaluridae.